RNAcentral lists this ribosomal RNA (1369 nucleotides) under human gut metagenome. RNAcentral describes it as "bacterial SSU rRNA". It matches the Rfam family "Bacterial small subunit ribosomal RNA", at positions 129 to 1507 of the family's 1533-position model. The record is from RNAcentral.
CCCCCCGCAGGGGGACAACACCGGGAAACCGGUGCUAAUACCGCAUAGGAGCGGGGGCCGCAUGGCCCCUGCUGGAAAGCUUCGGCGGCGGGGGAUGGGCAUGCGUGCCAUUAGGCAGUUGGCGGGGCAGCGGCCCACCAAACCUACGAUGGCUAGGGGUUCUGAGAGGAAGGCCCCCCACACUGGCACUGAGACACGGGCCAGACUCCUACGGGAGGCAGCAGUGAGGAAUAUUGGUCAAUGGCCGUAAGGCUGAACCAGCCAAGCCGCGUGAGGGAGGAAGGCCCUACGGGUUGUAAACCUCUUUGGUGCGGGAGCAAGGAGGGGCUCGUGAGCCCCGGUGAGAGUACCGCAAGAACAAGCAUCGGCUAACUCCGUGCCAGCAGCCGCGGUAAUACGGAGGAUGCGGGCGUUAUCCGGAAUCAUUGGGCUUAAAGGGUGCGCAGGCGGCCCGGUAAGCCGGCGGUAAAAAUGCGGGGCUCAACCCCGCCGAGCCGUCGGUACUGCGGGGCUGGCGUUGCGGCGGCGCAUGCGGAACGCGUCAUGUAGCGGUGAAAUGCAUAGAUAUGACGCAGAACGCCGAUCGCGGAGGCAGCAUGCGAGCCGCAUACGGACGCUGAGGCACGAAGGCGCGGGUAUCGAACAGGAUUAGAUACCCUGGUAGUCCGCGCAGUAAACGAUGGACACUUGCCGUCCGUGGGGUGACCCGUGGGUGGCGUAGCGAAAGCGUUAAGUGUCCCGCCUGGGGAGUACGCCGGCAACGGUGAAACUCAAAGGAAUUGACGGGGGCCCGCACAAGCGGAGGAACAUGUGGUUUAAUUCGAUGAUACGCGAGGAACCUUACCCGGGCUCGAACGCCGGAGCUCAGGCCCUGAAAGGGGCCGCCCCGCGAGGGGGAUCCGGCGAGGUGCUGCAUGGUUGUCGUCAGCUCGUGCCGUGAGGUGUCGGCUCAAGUGCCAUAACGAGCGCAACCCCCGCGUCCAGUUGCCAGCGAGUGAAGUCGGGGACUCUGGACGGACUGCCGGCGCAAGCCGCGAGGAAGGCGGGGAUGACGUCAAAUCAGCACGGCCCUUACGUCCGGGGCUACACACGUGUUACAAUGGCGCGUGACAGAGGGAUGCAGGCGUGCGAGCGCCGGCUGAGCCCUAAAACGCGCCGCAGUUCGGAUCGGGGGCUGCAACCCGCCCCCGUGAAGCUGGAUUCGCUAGUAAUCGCGCAUCAGCCAUGGCGCGGUGAAUACGUUCCCGGGCCUUGUACACACCGCCCGUCAAGCCAUGGGAGCCGGGAGAGCAUGAAGGCCGUAACCGCGAGGGUCGGCCAAGUGCGAGACCGGUGACUGGGGCUAAGUCGUAACAAGGUAGCCGUACCG